This is a non-coding RNA of Ictidomys tridecemlineatus (thirteen-lined ground squirrel), 815 nucleotides long. The record is from RefSeq and is a predicted model, not a curated record. Lineage: Eukaryota; Metazoa; Chordata; Mammalia; Rodentia; Sciuridae.
GGUUCCUCACCUGUGACAUACAUACCGCCUUGCAUUGCCCUGAGGGACACAGGCAAGGACAGCUGACACUAAUGCGAAGUUCAUGUAACUUGCUAUUUGAGAAGUAAUAAAGUCUUUUGUUUCUGACCCAGGAGUCUCGUGUCUUCUGCCAAUAUCCAUAAAACCUUGGAACACCAACUGUGAGCUUGCAAGUAAGGAGAUAGAAAGCCCUGAGGAUGACCCAGGUCACUGGUUCCUUUGGAACAAAGGAAGACAUGGCGCCAGGAAGCCUCGGCAGUGAGAAUGGCUUUCAUCAGGCCAAGAGAUGUAACUAACUCCUCAGUUCACGCUACAUUCGGGAUCGAGGUCGGCCCGCAGAUAUGGGCCUGGCCGCUGCUCAUGUAGCUACCAGGAUGGUGCGGCUGCCCGUUCUUCAAGGUGUCUCACUGCUCUCAAACCCACUUUGGGGAAGAAUCACGCAUGGAGGGCUUCCGGAAGAGUGGACAGAUGGUGAUCUGUUGAAGUCGUGAGUUACUGCAUUUGUUUAUUAGGACUGCCUUAAUAACCUGCCACAAACCUGAAGGCUGAAAACAAUAGAAAUGGAUUCCUUCUCCGUUCUGGAGGCCAGAAGUCUAAAAUCAAGGUGGUGGUAGAGCCCCACCCCUCGCUGCUGGUGGUCAAGGCCCUCCUUGGGGACCUCGACUUGCAACUUCAUAUUCCAGGCUCUGCCUCUGUCCUCUCAGGCUAUUUCCAUGCCAUAUCUGGGGUUCAUGUGGCCUUCGCCUCCUUUUGGCAGGUCUUUUAGUUACAGUAGCAAUAAGAGCUGACUAAAACAA